UUCAAAUUGAGAGUUUGAUCCUGGCUCAGGACGAACGCUGGCGGCGUGCCUAAUACAUGCAAGUCGAGCGAGCUGAAUUCAAAGAUCCCUUCGGGGUGAUUUGUUGGACGCUAGCGGCGGAUGGGUGAGUAACACGUGGGCAAUCUGCCCUAAAGACUGGGAUACCACUUGGAAACAGGUGCUAAUAC
Molecule: ribosomal RNA, 188 nt
Filed under: Lactobacillus delbrueckii subsp. bulgaricus
Lineage: Bacteria; Bacillati; Bacillota; Bacilli; Lactobacillales; Lactobacillaceae
Description: partial 16S ribosomal RNA
Rfam family: Bacterial small subunit ribosomal RNA
Source: RNAcentral